Long non-coding RNA from Oncorhynchus keta (chum salmon), 1393 nucleotides. RefSeq lists it as uncharacterized. The transcript has 6 exons. The record is from RefSeq and is a predicted model, not a curated record. Lineage: Eukaryota; Metazoa; Chordata; Actinopteri; Salmoniformes; Salmonidae.
CAUCUCACUGCUCAGAUUUAAGAAUGUUAUGGAAGGUAAACUGAGGGAGUUCCCUUUGGCUUACCUGGCAGUAGUUGAUGUCAGUAGUUGAUGUCAGUAGUUGAUUUCAGUAGUUGAUGUCAGUAGUUGAUGUCAGUAGUUGAUGUCAGUAGUUCAGUAGUUGAUGUCAGUAGUUGAUGUCAGUAGUUUAUUAGUUGAUGUCAGUAGUUGAUGUCAGUAGUUGAUGUCAGUAGUUCAGUAGUUGAUGUCAGUAGUUCAGUAGUUGAUGUCAGUAGUUCAUGUCAGUAGUUGAUGUCAGUAGUUGAUGUCAGUAGUUCAGUAGUUGAUGUCAGUAGUUCAGUAGUUGAUGUCAGUAGUUCAUUAGUUGAUGUCAGUAGUUGAUGUCAGUAGUUGAUGUCAGUAGUUGAUGUCAGUAGUUGAUGUCAGUAGUUGAUGUCAGUAGUUGAUGUCAGUAGUUGAUGUCAGUAGUUCAUGUCAGUAGUUGAUGUCAGUAGUUCAUGUCAGUAGUUCAUGUCAGUAGUUGAUGUCAGUAGUUGAUGUCAGUAGUUCAUUAGUUGAUGUCAGUAGUUGAUGUCAGUAGUUGAUGUCAAUAGUUGAUGUUAGUAGUUGAUGUCAGUAGUUGAUGUCAGUAGUUGAUGUCAGUAGUUCAGUAGUCGAUGUCAGUAGUUGAUGUCAGUAGUUCAUGUCAGUAGUUGAUGUCAGUAGUUGAUGUCAGUAGUUCAUGUCAGUAGUUCAUGUCAGUAGUUGAUGUCAGUAGUUGAUGUCAGUAGUUGAUGUCAGUAGUUGAUGUCAGUAGUUGAUUUCAGUAGUUGAUGUCAGUAGUUCAUGUCAGUAGUUGAUGUCAGUAGUUCAUGUCAGUAGUUCAUGUCAGUAGUUCAUGUCAGUAGUUCAUGUCAGUAGUUCAGUAGUUCAUGUCAGUAGUUCAUGUCAGUAGUUCAUGUCAGUAGUUCAGUAGUUCAUGUCAGUAGUUCAUGUCAGUAGUUCAUGUCAGUAGUUCAGUAGUUGAUGUCAGUAGUUGAUGUCAGUAGUUCAUGUCAGUAGUUCAUGGUAUAAACCAGUUUCAUAACAUUCCUAAAUACAUUUUACAAUCCUAUUUUCCCAGUCACAUUUUGGAACGCUACAAAUGACAUAUGUAGUAAUAAAGGAAUAAAAAUCGUUGUGAAUCUGACCUUUAGUUGAGUUGUCUAAAAUCAGAUACGUUAAAAUCUCAUCAAUACUUAAAACAUGUGAUAUGAUGAUCCCAAAACAACAUUUAAAAAAAUAAAAAACGCUGCCCAAGAAGUUUGUUCACGGGAAAAAUGAAAGUUACUCCUCUAUUCUAUUAAUGUCAGUAUUAGUUACUACGUAUCUCUGAGACGAUGUGGUGAUUUCCCUGUUUCUGUUCCUCAGAUGC